This 55-nucleotide transfer RNA is filed under the name Ceroplastes floridensis. Its description in RNAcentral is "tRNA-Gln". Lineage: Eukaryota; Metazoa; Arthropoda; Insecta; Hemiptera; Coccidae. The record is from RNAcentral.
UUUAUUUAAUUAAAAAAUUUUGAUUUUUUGUUCUAAUUAAUUUUAGUAAAUAAAU